CUCUCUCUCUCUCUCUCUGCUCUUGGAGUGCCGAGUGAUCUGGAAUCAGCAUCGACGCGAGCUGCGACGGGGCGUUGACGGUUCGGCGGUCCGAUUCCGACAUCUCGGGACGACGGCAUUCGAGGUGGGGAGCUUCGUUUCCUCUGCGGGCUCGGGUGGAGCCUCAAGGUAUCCGACUUGAAGACCUCGAAAUCGCUCUUCUACUUCGUCGCCGCGAGUUCCGCGUCGAUUACUCUGGUUUCGUAAGCCGAAACUGCAGUUUUGGACACCUGGAGACGAAUUCGUCGGAGAAUGCCUUUUUGUUCCCCGUAGGAUCUCGGUUUCUUGCAUCUCUCGGAAGCUGCUGUCAAUUUCUAGUGCAGAGAAAGUUCGAAUCUCUACGGUCUUUCCUGAUCUGUAAUCGCCGGUCGCCUUGCCUUUGGAGUUUCGAGUUUUCAGACUAUGGCAGGGAUUUCUUGAAGUUUAGCUUUCCGCUGCUGCAUUGAUGGAUCCUUGGACCAAUAUCGAUGGAUAUGAGGAGCCAAGGUUGUCCUCUUUGAAUCAGAUGGACAUUAUAGCCUCUUAAAGCACAAUCUGGAAAUUGUUCAUUGCAUUCUUUUACUAUUACCAAUGGGUCACUCUAUGCUUUUCAUAGCACUUCCUUUUAUUUACCUCAUGUUAUACCUUCCACCACUUACCACUGCUGACUUAAGUUCUGAUGAGGAAGCACUCCUGGCCUUUGCUGCCUCAGUCCCUCAUGGCCGGAAAUUGAACUGGAGUUCCCAGAACCCCAUAUGUUCAUCUUGGGUUGGAGUCACUUGCACACCUGAUAAGACCCGUGUCCAUACUCUCCGGCUGCCAGCGGUUGGCCUUUUUGGCUCGAUUCCUUCUGAUACACUUGGGAAACUUGAUGCCCUUGAAGUCUUAAGUCUUCGGUCCAACCGCCUUAUUCUAAAUCUUGCUCCAGAUGUCCCAUCAAUUCCUUCUUUGCAUUCUUUGUACCUUCAACAUAAUAAUUUAUCUGGAAUUGUACCUGAUUUGCUCUCUUCCAACCUAACAUUUCUUGAUCUCUCCUAUAAUUUGUUCGUCGGUGAAAUUCCAUUGACAGUCCAAAACCUUACUCUUCUUACCGCAUUGUUUCUCCAGAACAAUUCUCUUUCUGGACCCAUCCCUAACCUUCAACUGCCCAAGCUUAGACGUCUGAAUCUGAGUUAUAACAACCUCAGUGGCCCCAUACCAAUUUCACUUCAAAAGUUCCCAGUGGAGUCUUUCGUGGGUAACCCUUUCCUCUGUGGGACUCCUCUAGCCCAAUGCUUUGGAGUUCCUCCCUCCUCUCCACCCUUCCCAGCAGAAGCACCUACAAAACCCAAAAGAAGCUUUUGGAAAAAAAUAAGUACGGGAGUCAUCAUUGCAAUUGCUGCUGGUGGAUCAGCUCUUCUGCUUCUACUCAUUGUUUUAAUUUUGGUAUGCUUUUCCAAGAGGAAACGUAGGCAAGGCAGUGGAGAAUCAAAAGGCAAGGGUUCUCUUGGUGGAAGAAGCGAGAAACCUAAGGAGGAGUACAGCAGUAGUGUUCAAGAGGCCGAGAAGAAUAAAUUGGUUUUCUUUGAGGGAUGUUCUUAUAAUUUUGACUUGGAAGAUUUGUUAAGAGCUUCUGCUGAAGUUCUUGGGAAGGGAAGUCAUGGGACCACAUAUAAAGCUGUUCUAGAAGAUGGUACAACAGUUGUAGUGAAGAGGUUGAAGGAAGUAAUCAUCGGAAAGAGAGAGUUUGAACAGCAGAUGGAAAUGAUAGGAAGUGUCAGGCCACACCCCAAUGUAUUGCCACUUAGAGCUUAUUACUACUCCAAGGAUGAGAAGCUUCUAAUAUAUGAUUAUGUCCCUUCUGGCAAUUUAUCCUCCCUCUUGCAUGGGAAUAAGGGGGGAGCUGGAAAAACUCCCUUGGACUGGGAGUCCAGGAUAAAGGUUUCUCUUGGAGCAGCACGUGGCAUCGGUUGCAUUCACAUUGAUGGCAGCGGAAAGUUCAUUCAUGGAGAUAUUAAAUCCAAUAACAUACUCCUGACUCAGGAACUUGAUGCUUGUGUCUGUGAUUAUGGCCUUGCACCACUCAUGAACUCUGCAGCAACCCCAUCCAGAAUUGUAGUGGGCUACCGUGCACCCGAAGUCAUUGAGACUAGAAAAUAUACUCAGAAAUCUGAUGUCUACAGCUUUGGUGUCUUGCUACUUGAGAUGCUCACGGGAAAAGCUCCACUUCAGUCUCCAGGACGCGAUGAUGUUGCUGAUCUACCAAGAUGGGUCCAAUCUGUGGUUCGAGAAGAGUGGACUGCUGAAGUUUUUGAUGUAGAGUUGAUGAGGUAUCCGCACAUCGAGGAAGAAAUGGUUCAGAUGCUUCAGAUUGCGAUGGCAUGUGUUUCAAAAGCUCCAGAUCAACGACCGAAAAUGGAGGAGGUGAUCAGAAUGAUCGAAGACAUUCAGCACUCUGACUCGGAGAACAGACCAUCCUCUGAGAAACCAAGUUGAUAGUGUGUCCAAACGCCACAAGCAGGCACAGGAAGCACAAUGCAGCCCAUUUAUACGUUAGAGAGUCUGUGCAAAUGGGAAGAGGAAAAUGCAGGUGUCUUAUAGGCUGGAGGUAAAGCAGUUGAUUGCAUAUUGAAGUGCUUAAAUGAAGGCAAG
Molecule: non-coding RNA, 2649 nt
Organism: Musa acuminata subsp. malaccensis (wild Malaysian banana)
Lineage: Eukaryota; Viridiplantae; Streptophyta; Magnoliopsida; Zingiberales; Musaceae
Source: RefSeq, a predicted model, not a curated record